UACGAAGGGGGCUAGCGUUGCUCGGAAUCACUGGGCGUAAAGCGCACGCAGGCGGAUUGCUAAGUCAGGGGUGAAAUCCUGGAGCUCAACUCCAGAACUGCCUUUGAUACUGGCGAUCUCGAGUCCGGGAGAGGUGAGUGGAACUGCGAGUGUAGAGGUGAAAUUCGUAGAUAUUCGCAAGAACACCAGUGGCGAAGGCGGCUCACUGGCCCGGUACUGACGCUGAGGUGCGAAAGCGUGGGGAGCAAACAGG
RNAcentral lists this ribosomal RNA (253 nucleotides) under uncultured bacterium. Its description in RNAcentral is "partial 16S ribosomal RNA". It matches the Rfam family "Bacterial small subunit ribosomal RNA", at positions 524 to 776 of the family's 1533-position model. The record is from RNAcentral.